This 354-nucleotide long non-coding RNA is filed under the name Numida meleagris (helmeted guineafowl). Its description in RNAcentral is "lncRNA (ENSNMEG00000002924.1)". The record is from RNAcentral. Lineage: Eukaryota; Metazoa; Chordata; Aves; Galliformes; Numididae.
AUGGGAUCUAUGAGGUGAAUGGGGAGCUGUGGGGUGAUGUGUGGGGCAGAGCCAGGAAUGAAUGGGGAUCUAUGGGGCAGAAAUGGGAUCUAUGGGGCUGAAUGGGGCGAUGUGUGGGGCAGGGCGGAGAAUGAAUGGGGAUCUAUGGGGCGUAAGUGGGAUCUAUGGGGCUGAAUGGGAAUCUAUGGGGCACGAAUAGGGCUCUAUGGGGAUGAAUGGGGAUCUGUGGGGCACGAAUAGGGCUCUAUGGGGAUGAAUGGGGAUCUAUGGGGCGCUGUGGGGCUCUAUGGGGCACAAAUGGGAUCUAUGGGGCGCAACCAGGGAGCUGUGGGGCACCAGAGGGGUGUGUGGGGC